UAAAAACAUUUUCCUAUUUGAGCUUUGUUUUUUCUUCUUAUUCUGGGUUUCUUUAGUUAUUGGUGUUAUAACAGUAGUGUUUUCUGCUAUUUCUCACAUGCAUAUAGAAUAGCAGGUGCAUUGUGAGUUAAGUAGGCUUUGGUGAGCCAGCCAGGGUUUCUAUGGUAAAAUACAUUUCAAGUUCAAAACAAAAAACUUAGAAACCGCCCAUGCCAUCUGCCAUCUGGCUACUACCACUAAGCGUAGCCUGUCUGAACUUCUGCUGAUAUGGAUCCUCCACUUAGAAAUACCUCUCUCUCCUCCCCAUCCUGAACAGAUAAAUAUCCUUUGGGUCCUCCAGCCACAGAAGCUCCCACAAAGGAUGAGGUCUAAUGUGAGUCAUGACCACACCAAGUCCUCAAGUCUGACCUGCACAGGAAUGGAGAAAGUAUCAAUAAAUACAUCUCUACAGCAAGAUGGGAUGUGACUCACAAGGCACCUUUAUUCUUUAUUUUUUUCUCUGAUUUCCAGCCUCUCUUGUUAAUCAGACUCAUCCUUGGUGCUUCUCCCUCCUCUGUUCUCUACCCUGUGUUUACACCAGCUAGCUACCCCAUAAUGUAACUCCUGGGCAUGGAAAUUAAGCCAGAACCAUCUAAUGGCAGCUGCUGAAAAACCCAGCCUAGUUGAGUCUAUACCCAAAUGGGGUUUAUUUGUUUCAAUCAUGUCUGAUUAUUUGUGAUUUGGGGGUUUUCUUGACAACGAUUUUGAAGUGAUUUGUCAUUUCUUUCUCUAGCUCAUUUACAGAUGAGAAAACUGAGGCAAACAGGAUUAAGUGAUUUGCCCAGGGUCACAUAGCUAAUAAGUGUCUGAGAUCAGAUUUGAACUCAAGAAAUUGAGUUUUCCUGCUUGAUCACAUGGGUUGAUGGUGAUAUGACUGGGGGAUGUAGACUCUAAAUGAGCACCCUGGUGUAAAUAUCAAUAAUAUGGAAAUAGGUCUUGAUCAAUGACACAAGUAAAACCCAGUGGAAUUGAGUGUUGGCUACGGGAAGGGGUUGGGUGGAGGAGAGAGAAAGAACAUGAAUCAUGUAACCAUGGAAAAAUACUCUAAAUUAAUUAAAUAAAUUUUUCAAAAAAAAAAAGAAAUUGAGUUUU
Molecule: long non-coding RNA, 1131 nt
Filed under: Monodelphis domestica (gray short-tailed opossum)
Lineage: Eukaryota; Metazoa; Chordata; Mammalia; Didelphimorphia; Didelphidae
Description: lncRNA (ENSMODG00000037150.1)
Source: RNAcentral